Molecule: ribosomal RNA, 325 nt
Filed under: uncultured eukaryote
Lineage: Eukaryota
Description: partial 18S ribosomal RNA
Rfam family: Eukaryotic small subunit ribosomal RNA
Source: RNAcentral
CCCUUAGAUGUUCUGGGCUGCACGCGCGCUACACUGACACAUACAACAUGUCUUCCUUCUCCGACAGGAGUGGGUACUCAUGUGCACGUGUGUCGUGAUGGGGAUAGAUUAUUGCAAUUAUUAAUCUUCAACGAGGAAUUCCUAGUAAGUGCAAGUCAUCAGCUUGCGCUGAUUAUGUCCCUGCCCUUUGUACACACCGCCCGUCGCUCCUACCGAUUGGGUGUGCUGGUGAAAUGUUCGGAUCGGCCGUUUGUCGCGGUUUCCGCGUCAUGUGGCUGAGAAGUUCAUUAAACCCUCCCACCUAGAGGAAGGAGAAGUCGUAACA